This 211-nucleotide long non-coding RNA is filed under the name Nicotiana benthamiana. Its description in RNAcentral is "long non-coding RNA (NBEN_LNC027680)". Lineage: Eukaryota; Viridiplantae; Streptophyta; Magnoliopsida; Solanales; Solanaceae. The record is from RNAcentral.
UAGUCUCGAUACAAUCAACCGCUUUCGCAUAUACUUUGGAAACUGAAUAAGUUUCUUUGAGACUUACUACACCACAAUACCUUAUUGGUAAUCAAUUGUGUUUCUCCAAAAUAAUAUAAUUGUCUCUUACAGAGUUCUCAAUUAAUUUGGUACUAUCACAUAUUAAUCAAUAUCCAUAUAGUGAAUAUUUCUUUUAAAGAGAAAGUUNNNN